UAUUGUAAUAUUUCCCCAUUAGGUCCUGGGUCCAGAUCUAGGAGAUCCCGGCUAAGGACCUGUCCAAACAUGUGCGGGCUAUCUCUGAACCCCUGAGAAUCCCUCUCGCUAGCAUCCAUCUUGGCUGAGAGAUGCAUGCACCACAAGGAAAGACUCUGAAUUAGAAUGAUUGGCCAAAGACCACCCGGAAACUAAUCCCAUCACUAAAAAACCGGAGACUGAGAGCCACGCAGCAGAGCAGUUCUCCUGGGUUCCCUUACCCUACUGCUCUCCACCCAGGUGCCCUUUCCCAAUAAAACCUCUUGCUUUGUCAGCA
Long non-coding RNA from Bubalus bubalis (water buffalo), 316 nucleotides. RefSeq lists it as uncharacterized. Lineage: Eukaryota; Metazoa; Chordata; Mammalia; Artiodactyla; Bovidae. The transcript is spliced from 2 exons. The record is from RefSeq and is a predicted model, not a curated record.